UGACCAAGGGAAAACUUGAGUAGUUUACUCUGAGACCCAUCCCUAGAGGAGAAGACAAGAGAAGAGAGAUAUGGAAGAGGACAGACACAGAGAGUGCAUCAACGGGCCAGUGAGCCUCACCUGGACUGCAUCUCGGCCUGUGCUGCUUUCUGGGCUGUAAGGGCAGGAGUCCCAUGCGGAGAGUGGCUGAGCUGGGCUGGGGCGCUGCUCUGCUGGCUCAGAGGAGGGUGUGUGCUCUGGGACUGGGCAGUUGGUGGGAGAGAGGCCUGGGAGUUCUGCCGCUGGGCCUGCUGCUGCUGCUGCUGUUUGUAGCGGGACAAGCUGAAGAAGAGGCCGAGGAUGGCUUUCAGAUUACCAUUCCGAAUCUCUGUGGGUCAGGGAGAAGGACAAUUUUGAAUAUCAAAAAGGAAAAGGCAGAUGAGGUGAAGAAGGAAAAAUGUAGAUGAAGGCAAAAGUAAGACUGAAAUGUCACUGUCACUUCAACUACGCAAAAUGAAUGUGCAGAACUGUUCUGUGCUAAGAAACUAAAGUUACUAGCAUGCUACAGGACAGCACUAUGAUUACUGCUUUUACUGGCUGUUAUGACCUAUUGAUAUACUGUUGUGAUAAGGACUCAUUCCUUUAUUGCCCUUUACCCGCUUACUCAUAUUUAGUAUCACAGGCAGAAAGUCUCCUUUAUACCUAUGCACGUUAAACCAGCAGUGUACUCCAAACUAAAUGGAAUGUGACAGAAAAACUGACGAGUUUGUGACCUAAAAUAAAAUUGAACAUUUGACUUUAAUGGUCACAAAAGAACUUAAUUCAAAUUAUUUCCACAGACUUGUGCUAGUUUUAGGGGAACUUUUUAACAUCCAAGCCAUAACCUGACUUGUUAGCUCCUUCAUCUGACAUUGACGCAAAUAAGUGAACAGACUUCGAGUUGCAGCGAGAAUACUAGUAUUUUCUCGCAAAGCUGGAUUCAACAGCAGCCUGAAAACACAAACACAAACACAAAUACAUUCUAAUUUGCGGCCUACUGCUGGCCUUAGCUCUCCAAUCUAUCUGACUUGCAUGUUUGUGGACUGCAAGAGGAAAGUCACAAGAAAAUACUUUGAGAACAUGUACUCCUUACAGAGUAGAGAACUGACCCGAUGUCUUUCUUGCUGUCAGGGAACAUCGCAAUCCACUGAUUCACUGUUCUGCCCAAAGAUAACACUAGUAGUAUUAGUACCACUACUAUUAUUGUUCCUAUGUUCCCUGUGUGAAUAAUAUGAUGUAAGCCUACAUUCAUCUUGUUUUGAAGUAGGCUACAUUUAAACACUGCACUAUUGUGAGCUUUUUGGUACAUUAGUUCUAUAUAUUGUGUAAUCAGCCCUAUCAAGCCUAAAUGUUUUAAUGUGUAUUGUCUGGCAUUAAUGUAGUGUGUCCUGGUAAAAGAGCUUGCCAAUAAAAAUGCCUUAAUGUA
Long non-coding RNA from Siniperca chuatsi (mandarin fish), 1444 nucleotides. RefSeq lists it as uncharacterized. NCBI's taxonomy places the organism in Eukaryota, Metazoa, Chordata, Actinopteri, Centrarchiformes, Sinipercidae. The record is from RefSeq and is a predicted model, not a curated record. The transcript has 2 exons.